This 253-nucleotide ribosomal RNA is filed under the name uncultured bacterium. RNAcentral's name for it is "partial 16S ribosomal RNA". It matches the Rfam family "Bacterial small subunit ribosomal RNA", at positions 524 to 776 of the family's 1533-position model. The record is from RNAcentral.
UACGUAGGGUCCGAGCGUUGUCCGGAGUUACUGGGCGUAAAGCGCGCGCAGGCGGCGGUGCUGGCCCGGCGUGAAAGCCCCCGGCUCAACCGGGGAGGGUCGUCGGGGACCGCACCGCUUGAGGGCGGUAAGGGCUGGUGGAAUGCCUGGUGUAGUGGUGAAAUGCGUAGAGAUCAGGCGGAACACCCGUGGCGAAGGCGGCCAGCUGGGCCGUCCCUGACGCUGAGGCGCGAAGGCGUGGGGAGCGAACGGG